RNAcentral lists this ribosomal RNA (25 nucleotides) under Neofusicoccum vitifusiforme. Its description in RNAcentral is "partial 18S ribosomal RNA". The record is from RNAcentral. Lineage: Eukaryota; Fungi; Ascomycota; Dothideomycetes; Botryosphaeriales; Botryosphaeriaceae.
UCGUAGUGACCUGCGGAGGAUCAUU